This 407-nucleotide ribosomal RNA is filed under the name uncultured bacterium. RNAcentral's name for it is "partial 16S ribosomal RNA". It matches the Rfam family "Bacterial small subunit ribosomal RNA", at positions 30 to 526 of the family's 1533-position model. The record is from RNAcentral.
AUUGAACGCUGGCGGCAGGCCUAACACAUGCAAGUCGAGCGGAGGGGCGGGGGGGAGAGUAAUGCCUAGGAAUCUGCCUGGUAGUGGGGGAUAAAGUCCGGAAAGGGUCGCUAAUACCGCAUACUAUCAGAUGAGCCUAGGUCGGAUUCGCUAGUGGGUGGGGUAAAGGCCUACCAAGGCGACGAUCCGUAACUGGGCUGGGAGGAGGAUCAGUCACACUGGAACUGAGACACGGUCCAGACUCCUACGGGAGGCAGCAGUGGGGAAUAUUGGACAAUGGGCGAAAGCCUGACCCAGCCAUGCCGCGUGUGUGACGAAGGUCUUCGGAUUGUAAAGCACUUUAAGUUGGGAGGCGUUACCAACAGAAUAAGCACCGGCUAACUUCGUGCCAGCAGCCGCGGUAAUAC